Molecule: unclassified non-coding RNA, 126 nt
Filed under: Parafrankia sp. Ea1.12
Lineage: Bacteria; Bacillati; Actinomycetota; Actinomycetes; Frankiales; Frankiaceae
Source: RNAcentral
UGUAGGCCGGGUGAUUGAGCCGCGAAAUGAACAGUUCCAGGGCGCCGACACGUUCAGAUCCGUGGAAGGCAACACCGCCGGGAGCGUUAGUCGCGAGUUCCCGGUGGGCCCGGCGCGGUCAGACCU